UACGGAGGGUGCGAGCGUUGUUCGGAAUUAUUGGGCGUAAAGCGCGUGUAGGCGGUUACUUAAGUCUGAUGUGAAAGCCCCGGGCUUAACUUGGGAAGUGCAUUGGAAACUGGGCAACUAGAGUACGAGAGAGGAAAAUGGAAUUCCGGGUGUAGUGGUGAAAUGCGUAGAUAUCCGGAGGAACACCAGUGGCGAAGGCGAUUUUCUGGCUCGAUACUGACGCUGAGGUGCGAAAGCGUGGGGAGCAAACAGG
This 253-nucleotide ribosomal RNA is filed under the name uncultured bacterium. RNAcentral describes it as "partial 16S ribosomal RNA". It matches the Rfam family "Bacterial small subunit ribosomal RNA", at positions 524 to 776 of the family's 1533-position model. The record is from RNAcentral.